Molecule: long non-coding RNA, 1422 nt
Organism: Bos taurus (domestic cattle)
Lineage: Eukaryota; Metazoa; Chordata; Mammalia; Artiodactyla; Bovidae
Source: Ensembl
GUAGGUUCCAGUUUGCCUACCCCUCCCCCAGCAGAGAGCCCAAUUCCUCUUUCCUGUCCUUCCUACCCUCACUUAACUCCAAACCUGGCUUGCCACUCACCGGGUAGAGAAGGGCUCCAGGACUCAGGUCCAGAGAAGGCAGCACUCUGGGGAGCAGAUGGGUAGGAAGACAGGUGGCUGUUGGGGCACAGCCCCUCUGGGGCACUGGGGUCACCCGCCUGCCCAGGCCAAUUCUGCCCAAUCAGAGAGCAGGGAGCCACUAGACACAAGCAAUGGCCCCGGAAGUGACGCUUUCUCCUCCCACCUGCGUAGGACUUGGAGCCCCUGCCUGGACCAUGGUUCACUAAUGGAGCCCAGCUUUCCCACUCACGCAUACCACACGGAGGAUUUGAAUAGGGGGAUCUGUCUCUUCCUAGGAGCUGGGAAAUCUGGGAGCCGGCUGGGGGAGAAGACGGGAGGGAAACAGUUUUUUUCCUAGGAGGAAUCUGGCAGGACAUUUUCACCCCUCAGGAAGAGUGGGAAUGUGGGUACUGCGUGUAUUAGAGAAGACCCUGUCAGGGGUCAGCGUUUCCAGGAAGCAGUCUGGACAGUCUGAGAGGACUUCAAGGCUCUCUCCUGUUCCUCCUCCCAAGGAUGGGGCUCUCUGCUAAGGAGUAUGGCCUAGAUCCCGGAAUUCUCCAGUUCAGCCAGACCAGAUGCCUCCCAAGAUUAAGAAGGAGGGUGCUGGGAUGGUUGGGAGGAUGGUGGGAAUGUGGGGGUGGGAAUGUGGGGGUGGGAGGUGGCAGGGAGGCUGUCGUGGCAGGGAGGCUGUCAUGCUUGGGAAAGCAAGACAAAAGAGGUUUGUGGGUAGGGUGGAGAGGCAGAGGGUCCCCCAGGUGAAGGAAGAGGGUGGGGAAGUGUGUCAGGCUGGGGAGGAGGAUGGUUGGAUGGGCCUGAGCACAGGUAAUAGUAGGGAGAGAAACGCUGUCAGCAGACAGAAAGGGAGACAGUCUGUUUCUGGCUAAGUUCCUAUCCCAGGGACAGAGGAAAGAGGAGAGAUCUCAUAGGGGAAGUAGGGACACAGGCUGGGCAAUGAGAGUGGUGUGGGGUUUGAGAGGUGCGGUGGGCCCAGAGACAAGCGAAGAUGAGUUGAUGGGCCCGUCCUGCUCGUUGUCAUCCUUAAAGACAAUUCUUCAUCCUUCCGGCAGGAACUCAGUCUGAACGCAGUGGCCGGCCCAGGCCUCAGGCCGUCUCUGCCCCUCCGUGGCCUGGGGCUCCCAUCCCGGGCCGGACACGCACCUCCUGGUCCAGUUGCCCUGUGGACGCCGGCAGCGGGUGGGUGGGUGGGGGGUGCUCCAGAUCCGCCUCUCCUCCCCGCUUUGCGCCCCCUGGUCCCUCCCCUCCCCCUAUCCCCUCCGCUCCCCCUUCCCCUACAGCCCCUCC